This 440-nucleotide ribosomal RNA is filed under the name uncultured bacterium. Its description in RNAcentral is "partial 16S ribosomal RNA". It matches the Rfam family "Bacterial small subunit ribosomal RNA", at positions 338 to 795 of the family's 1533-position model. The record is from RNAcentral.
CCUACGGGCGGCAGCAGUGGGGAAUAUUGCACAAUGGGGGAAACCCUGAUGCAGCGACGCCGCGUGCGGGAUGAAGGCUUUCGGUAUGUAAAGCUCUAUCAGCAGGGAAGAAAAUGACGGUACCUGACUAAGAAGCCCCGGCUAACUACGUGCCAGCAGCCGCGGUAAUACGUAGGGGGCAACCGUUAUCCGGAUUUACUGGGCGUAAAGGGAGCGUAGGCGGAAUAGCAAGUCUGAUGUGAAAACCCGGGGCUCAACUCCGGGAGUGCAUUUGAAACUGUUGAUCUAGAGUGUAGGAGAGGCAGGCGGAAUUCGUGGUGUAGCGGUGAAAUGCGUAGAGAUCAGGAGGAACACCAGUGGCGAAGGCGGCUUGCUGGACGAUGACUGACGCUGAGGCUCGAAAGCGUGGGGAGCAAACAGGAUUAGAUACCCUGGUAGUC